GUGUCUGAGUCUGUAUAUGUGCAUGUGUGUUUAUUUGUUGCAUGUGUAUGUGUAUAUGUAUAUAAAUUGUAUAUAAGUGUGCGUAUGAAUGUGUAUGUACAUGUAUAUGUAUAUGUGUGUAGAAGUAUAUAUGUGUAUAGAAGUGUGUGUAUUUAUGUGCAUGUACAUGUAUAUAUGUAUAUGCACGUGCAUUUGUGUGUGCAUGCAUGUAUGUGUAUAUGCAUUGCAUGUGUAUGUGUAUAUGCAUAUAUAUAUGUGUGUGUGUAUGUGUGUGUGCGUGUGUGUGUGUGCACAUGCAUGUAUAUAUAUAUGUGUGGGGCAAGUGGAACCGUG
Molecule: long non-coding RNA, 333 nt
Filed under: Rattus norvegicus (Norway rat)
Lineage: Eukaryota; Metazoa; Chordata; Mammalia; Rodentia; Muridae
Description: long non-coding RNA NONRATT023419
Source: RNAcentral